UGGAACAAUUCCAUUCUCAUAAUGUUAGAACAUAAUGCAUCAAGUCCAAUGAGAUACACUACCAGAAACAAAUGAUUAUAAUUCCCUAAAGAAGUGUGUACAUAGAAAUUAUAGCCAGACAACUUACUGUAAGCAUGGGCUCCCACAUGGCAAAAUCAUUAUUCCGUUCUGAUAAGACCAGCAAAAUAUCAUAGACAGAUACCAAGAAAACGCCAGAGCGGCAGAAAAUAUUGAUCAAUUAUUGGUUACUGGCAAGACAAAAGGUAGAAGGAACCAUAGUAUAAGUAAAAAGGGAACCGCAAUUUAAGUACAAUGGAACCAUAUGAGUAUAUGAAUGCAGUUAAGGGGGAGCUUGUGUCGUAUCCAUAAUGCUCGUUCGCGGUGGUUGACUUGCCAGACCAGGUGGACCGAUUAUCCCAAUCACCAUGAAAUCAUUGUUCUCCAUCAAAUACUUCAAAAAAGGAAGAAGUAAAAAACACGAGUUCAAUUUUUCAUGCAUGCCAUUUAGCAACCAGUAAUUCUAAGUUUUAGUUGUAACGUAAACGUAUAGGACGCAAGUAUCAAUAGCCGGAUUGUAUAUAUGUCGAGAACAACUGUGUGCAAUACAAGGUAUAUCUCCACAAAUAAUUCUAGUGUACACUAUACAUAUAUAGGUUAAGAACUACUGUGUACUGACCAGCCCUUCUGAAAUCCCUGGUCCUAUGUGAUAACAUACACGAAAAAUUCUGCUAACCUGGAAGGUUGUGGGCACUGCUGAACCAAAUGUUGAAUUCAGAGAGAAGGAAGCAACAAACGACUCCAUUAAAUAUAUCCAGGGAGAAUACUUCAGAAAAUUAACGAAUCCAUAUGCUUAAUGCUGAAUGACACAUCAAUGUGUGCACUGGCUCAGAUCAAUCGUAAUCACAACAUCCCUCCAGUAGUAUGUACAUUUGCUAAGUUUUUAUAGUGACAGAGAAUAAUAGCAUGACAUACGUACAUUCAAAACUCGACCAGUUUCCAUUGCUAUCAUGCCCAAGGGAAUUGUCACAGAUCUACUGAUCCUAAGUUACUUUGAUCCCAGCAUUAUCAACGUAGCAGACACAAGCAAAAUGGUAGAUUCUGAUUUUCCCACCUGGGUGCAUCCAUCUUGCCCGUCGAUAGGAGGAGAGCUCUUCCUUCUGCCCUGAAAACGUCGAUCCCUGGAGGAAGGACUUCCAUCCACGUCCUCACCAAAGGGACCUGUAAAAGCACAAAAACACAAGCGGGAAACAACGCAAGACCAAAGGAAACAUCAAUUUCCACCGCUCACAUCAACUUUUCUUACCAUCUCAUCGGUUGCGGAAGGAAAGCCUCGCGGCCCGUGCCGCGGCCGCGGACACUCCCUGCCCCGGCGACGAUGGCGGACGACGAGUCAGGGGCCCCGACCAGGUAGGCGUGCUGGAUGAGGUCGAUGCCGGCAGGUGGGGCGGAGGGGCAGCAACGGAGGAGGAAGAGGUGGAUCCGCGACGACAGCAAUGGAUCCACGAAGAAGUGUGUACAAUGAGAUACACUACUAGAAACAAAUGAUUAUAAUUCCCUAAAGAAGUGUGUACAUAGAAAUUAUAGCCAGACAACUUACUGUAAGCAUGGGCUCCCACAUGGCAAAAUCAUUAUUCCGUUCUGAUAAGACCAGCAAAAUAUCAUAGACUGAUACCAAGAAAACGCCAGAGCGGCAGAAAAUAUUGAUCAAUUAUUGGUUACUGGCAAGACAAAAGGUAGAAGGAACCAUAGUAUAAGUAAAAAGGGAACCACAAUUUAAGUACAAUGGAACCAUAU
Molecule: long non-coding RNA, 1794 nt
Filed under: Triticum aestivum (bread wheat)
Lineage: Eukaryota; Viridiplantae; Streptophyta; Magnoliopsida; Poales; Poaceae
Description: long non-coding RNA (TAES_LNC005524)
Source: RNAcentral